Molecule: ribosomal RNA, 523 nt
Filed under: Vibrio vulnificus
Lineage: Bacteria; Pseudomonadati; Pseudomonadota; Gammaproteobacteria; Vibrionales; Vibrionaceae
Description: partial 23S ribosomal RNA
Rfam family: Bacterial large subunit ribosomal RNA
Source: RNAcentral
ACUAAGUGGGAAACGAUGUGGGAAGGCUCAGACAGCCAGGAUGUUGGCUUAGAAGCAGCCAUCAUUUAAAGAAAGCGUAAUAGCUCACUGGUCGAGUCGGCCUGCGCGGAAGAUGUAACGGGGCUAAGUAGUAAACCGAAGCUGCGGCAAUAUACUUUUGUAUAUUGGGUAGGGGAGCGUUCUGUAAGCGGUUGAAGGUGUGUGGUAACGCAUGCUGGACGUAUCAGAAGUGCGAAUGCUGACAUGAGUAACGAUAAAGGGGGUGAAAAACCUCCUCGCCGGAAGACCAAGGGUUCCUGUCCAACGUUAAUCGGGGCAGGGUAAGUCGACCCCUAAGGCGAGGCCGAAAGGCGUAGUCGAUGGGAAACGGGUUAAUAUUCCCGUACUUCUUACAAUUGCGAUGGGGGGACGGAGAAGGCUAGGUGGGCCUGGCGACGGUUGUCCAGGUUCAAGUGCGUAGGCUUAAGAGUUAGGUAAAUCCGGCUCUUUCUAAGGCUGAGACACGACGUCGAGCACCUACGGG